RNAcentral lists this ribosomal RNA (795 nucleotides) under uncultured bacterium. RNAcentral describes it as "bacterial SSU rRNA". It matches the Rfam family "Bacterial small subunit ribosomal RNA", at positions 1 to 793 of the family's 1533-position model. The record is from RNAcentral.
UAGAGUUUGAUCCUGGCUCAGGAUGAACGCUAGCGGCAGGCUUAACACAUGCAAGUCGAGGGGCAUCGGGAGGAAAGCUUGCUUUCCUUGCCGGCGACCGGCGCACGGGUGAGUAACACGUAUGCAACCUGCCCUCUUCAGGGGGACAACCUUCCGAAAGGGAGGCUAAUCCCGCGUAUAUCGGUUUCGGGCAUCCGAGAUCGAGGAAAGAUUCAUCGGAAGAGGAUGGGCAUGCGGCGCAUUAGCUUGACGGCGGGGUAACGGCCCACCGUGGCGACGAUGCGUAGGGGUUCUGAGAGGAAGGUCCCCCACACUGGUACUGAGACACGGACCAGACUCCUACGGGAGGCAGCAGUGAGGAAUAUUGGUCAAUGGGAGAGAUCCUGAACCAGCCAAGCCGCGUGAGGGAAGACGGCCCUAUGGGUUGUAAACCUCUUUUGUCGGAGAACAAAACCCGGGACGUGUCCCGGACUGCGUGUAUCCGAAGAAAAAGCAUCGGCUAACUCCGUGCCAGCAGCCGCGGUAAUACGGAGGAUGCGAGCGUUAUCCGGAUUUAUUGGGUUUAAAGGGUGCGUAGGCGGUCCGUUAAGUCAGCGGUAAAAUUGCGGGGCUCAACCCCGUCGAGCCGUUGAAACUGGCAGACUUGAGUUGGCGAGAAGUACGCGGAAUGCGCGGUGUAGCGGUGAAAUGCAUAGAUAUCGCGCAGAACUCCGAUUGCGAAGGCAGCGUACCGGCGCCAGACUGACGCUGAGGCACGAAAGCGUGGGGAUCGAACAGGAUUAGAUACCCUGGUAG